CCUACGGGCGGCAGCAGUAGGGAAUAUUGCUCAAUGGGGGAAACCCUGAAGCAGCAACGCCGCGUGGAGGAUGAAGGUUUUCGGAUUGUAAACUCCUUUUGUUAGAGAAGAUAAUGACGGUAUCUAACGAAUAAGCACCGGCUAACUCCGUGCCAGCAGCCGCGGUAAUACGGAGGGUGCAAGCGAUACUCGGAAUCACUGGGCGUAAAGAGCGCGUAGGCGGGAUAGCAAGUCAGAUGUGAAAUCCUAUGGCUUAACCAUAGAACUGCAUUUGAAACUGGUAUUCUAGAGUAUGGGAGAGGUAGGUGGAAUUCUUGGUGUAGGGGUAAAAUGCGUAGAGAUCAAGAGGAAUACUCAUGGCGAAGGCGACCUGCUAGAACAUAACUGACGCUGAUGCGCGAAAGCGUGGGGAGCAAACAGGAUUAGAUACCCCUGUAGUC
This 440-nucleotide ribosomal RNA is filed under the name uncultured bacterium. RNAcentral's name for it is "partial 16S ribosomal RNA". It matches the Rfam family "Bacterial small subunit ribosomal RNA", at positions 338 to 795 of the family's 1533-position model. The record is from RNAcentral.